GAUGAAGAACGUAGCGAAAUGCGAUAAGUAAUGUGAAUUGCAGAAUUCAGUGAAUCAUCGAAUCUUUGAACGCAUCUUGCGCUCCUUGGUAUUCUGAGGAGCAUGCCUGUUUGAGUGUCAUUAAAUUCUCAACUACACUGACUUUGAUUUGGUGUGGCUUGGAUUUGGGGGGAAAAUUGUUGUGGGCUUUUUGUAUAGUCUGCUCCCCUGAAAUUGAUUAGCGGUACCUUUGUGGAACUGUCUACAGGUGUGAUAAUUAUCUACAUCUUAGACAUCUGCUGGAAUGCUGCUUUCUAAACCUUACUUGUAUUGACAAUCUUGACCUCAAAUCAGGUAGGACUACCCGCUGAACUUAAGCAUAUCAAUAAGCGGAGGA
This 376-nucleotide unclassified non-coding RNA is filed under the name soil metagenome. RNAcentral's name for it is "partial contains 5.8S ribosomal RNA, internal transcribed spacer 2, and large subunit ribosomal RNA". The stretch from base 1 to 120 matches the Rfam family "5.8S ribosomal RNA", at positions 35 to 154 of the family's 154-position model. The record is from RNAcentral.